Molecule: ribosomal RNA, 270 nt
Filed under: uncultured archaeon
Lineage: Archaea
Description: partial 16S ribosomal RNA
Rfam family: Archaeal small subunit ribosomal RNA
Source: RNAcentral
CAGCUCUUCGAGUGGUGGGGAUGUUUAUUGGGCCUAAAGCAUUCGUAGCUUGUUCGGUAAGUCCUCCGUUAAAUCCAGCGAUUCAAUCGUUGGGCUGCGGGGGAUACUGCUGGGCUAGGGGGCGGGAGAGGCCGACGGUAUCCUCGGGGUAGGGGUGAAAUCCUAUAAUCCCGGGUAGACCACCAGUGGCGAAGGCUGUCGGCUAGAACGCGCCCGACGGUGAGGGAUGAAAGCUGGGGGAGCGAACCGGAUUAGAGACCCGAGUAGUCC